This 465-nucleotide ribosomal RNA is filed under the name uncultured bacterium. RNAcentral describes it as "partial 16S ribosomal RNA". It matches the Rfam family "Bacterial small subunit ribosomal RNA", at positions 28 to 507 of the family's 1533-position model. The record is from RNAcentral.
GACGAACGCUGGCGGCGUGCUUAACACAUGCAAGUCGAACGGAAAGGCCCUGCUUGCAGGGUACUCGAGUGGCGAACGGGUGAGUAACACGUGGGUGAUCUGCCCUGCACUUCGGGAUAAGCCUUGGAAACUGGGUCUAAUACCGGAUAGGAGCCAUUUUUAGUGUGAUGGUUGGAAAGUUUUUUCGGUGUAGGAUGAGCUCGCGGCCUAUCAGCGUGUUGGUGGGGUAAUGGCCUACCAAGGCGGCGACGGGUAGCCGGCCUGAGGGGGUGGACGGCCAAAAUGGGAAUGAGAAACGGGCCAAGAUCCUACGGGAGGCAAGAGGGGGGAAUAAUGGACAAUUGGCGCAAGCCUGAUGCAGCGAAGCCGCGUGGGGGAUGACGGCCUUCGGGUUGUAAACUCGUUUCGCUAGGGACGAAGCUUUUUGUGACGGUACCUAGAUAAGAAGCACCGGCUAACUACGUG